UAAUUAGUGACGCGCAUGAAUGGAUU
Molecule: non-coding RNA, 26 nt
Filed under: Bombyx mori (domestic silkworm)
Lineage: Eukaryota; Metazoa; Arthropoda; Insecta; Lepidoptera; Bombycidae
Also listed under: 6 other names
Source: RNAcentral